Molecule: ribosomal RNA, 499 nt
Filed under: uncultured Glomeromycotina
Lineage: Eukaryota; Fungi; Glomeromycota
Description: partial small subunit ribosomal RNA
Rfam family: Eukaryotic small subunit ribosomal RNA
Source: RNAcentral
CCAAUAGCGUAUAUUAAAGUUGUUGCAGUUAAAAAGCUCGUAGUUGAACUUCGGGAUCAAUUGAUUGGUCAUGCCUUGGUAUGUACUGUUCCUAUUGGUUCUCACCUUCUAAUGAACCAUAAUGUCAUUUAUUUGAUGUUAUGGGAAAUUAGGACUGUUACCUUGAAAAAAUUAGAGUGUUUAAAGCAGGCUCACGCUUGAAUACAUUAGCAUGGAAUAAUGAAAUAGGACAUCGCAUUCUAUUUUGUUGGUUUCUAGGAUCGAUGUAAUGAUUAAUAGGGAUAGUUGGGGGCAUUAGUAUUCAAUUGUCAGAGGUGAAAUUCUUGGAUUUAUUGAAGACUAACUACUGCGAAAGCAUUUGCCAAGGAUGUUUUCAUUAAUCAAGAACGAAAGUUAGGGGAUCGAAGACGAUCAGAUACCGUCGUAGUCUUAACCAUAAACUAUGCCGACUAGGGAUCGUAUGAUGUUGAUUUUUUAAUGACUCAUUCGGCACCUUACG